GACCAUCCAGUGCACCCCCGAUGAGGAUAAGACCGCUCCCGGUCCUGUAGACAAACCCUAUCAAUCACUUAUCCUCUUGCUCGUCCUCUCCCUCUUGGUUUCGCUCCCUCCCGAGCUCUCGUCGACGCGCUGUCGCCAUCCUCGUGGUUACUGGCCUCCUCGGUGAUCGGGAGGUUCUCUAGGAGCUCCGUCAUCAUCGACUCCUUCGCCUACCUCCGCUAAAUCAAGCUAAGAGGCACCGUAUGCUCAGGAUCGAGAUGGUUUCCACCAUGGCCGUCACAUCUCGCUGUCGAGCUUGACGCAUCCGGCCACCCCCGCAGCUCAUGACCUUGUCCACGAGCUCCGCGACCCCGUUAUCGCGAUAGACCCCAAGACGGCUGAUGAUCAGGUGAUCGUCUUCUUCGUUGAGGAUCCGUACAUGUCUACAGAGCUUCCAGAUGACGGAGCACCUGAGACCGUUGCCCCCACCGAUGACUACUACUACCCCGAGGGUGCCUACUACUACGUGACGGACGCUGGCGACCAAGAGUAGUUAGGAGGCUCCCAGGCAGGUGGCCUUGCCUUUUCGAUCGUAGAUGCUUUUG
Molecule: long non-coding RNA, 584 nt
Organism: Triticum dicoccoides
Lineage: Eukaryota; Viridiplantae; Streptophyta; Magnoliopsida; Poales; Poaceae
Exons: 3
Source: RefSeq, a predicted model, not a curated record